RNAcentral lists this ribosomal RNA (991 nucleotides) under Aspidiophorus polystictos. RNAcentral's name for it is "eukaryotic LSU rRNA". It matches the Rfam family "Eukaryotic large subunit ribosomal RNA", at positions 54 to 849 of the family's 3401-position model. Lineage: Eukaryota; Metazoa; Gastrotricha; Chaetonotida; Chaetonotidae. The record is from RNAcentral.
GAGAAAAGAAAAUAACAAUGAUUCCUAAAGUAACGGCGAGUGAAAUAGGAAAAGCCCAUAGCCGAAUUCUGUCGUCGCUACUGGCGAUUGGAAGUUGUGGCGUUGGGAACUGUCAACAAUAACUGGUGUAUCUGGUUACGCGACUCCUCUUGAUUGUGGUUUGUCCGUAGCAGGUGCAAGGCCUAUUGACGUAGUCACAGAUUACCAGUGAAGGCAGUCCUUAGAGUCGGGUUGUUUGGGAUUGCAGCCCGAAGCAGGUGGUAAACUCCACCCAAGGCUAAAUACGAUGGCGAGUCCGAUAGCAAACAAGUACCAUGAGGGACAGUUGAAAAGAACUUUGAAGAGAGAGUUCAAAGUACGUGAAACCGUUCAGAGGUAAACAGGUGGAAAGUCGAAUGUGAAAUUGAUAAUCAGGUCAAGGUAAACUGAUGCUUGCUUGUAAUACUUUAUAGAUUGCUAGCUCGCAGAAGGCUAACUCUGGCCGUACUUGUCAUUUCAGGUCGCUGCUGUAAUGGUGUACUACCGGCUGGGCUUGCUCCUAUAGCUUGCGCUAAACCGUUUGGUUGAUGCGUUUGCUCAUGAGUUUGUCACCCGUGUUUAGCCACCAUUAUUGAAUAGCCUAUGUGUUCUUGCUGAUUCGUUUGUACGUUGAAUGGGCAUGUUGAUUCGAAAUGAUUCAGAUGUCUACUUUGGGGUGCAUCUUGUCAGUGUUUUGACAGAACAAAGGUUACGCGGCGUUGGAUUGCGAAUUAUCUGCCUGACCCGUCUUGAAACACGGACCAAGGAGUCCAACUUGUACGCGAGCUAUUGGAUGUACGAAAAUGAAAUCCAUAAGCGUAGUGAAAGCAUGAGGUGAGAUCUGGCGUUGUUUUCAUUGAAAAGGGCGCUAGCGCAUCAUCGUCACGCCGCAAUUCGGCCAAGGCUGAUGCGGCGAAGACAGAGCGUACAUGUUGGGACCCGAAAGAUGGUGAACUAUGCGAGGCGAGGUCGA